Molecule: long non-coding RNA, 1420 nt
Organism: Papaver somniferum (opium poppy)
Lineage: Eukaryota; Viridiplantae; Streptophyta; Magnoliopsida; Ranunculales; Papaveraceae
Exons: 9
Source: RefSeq, a predicted model, not a curated record
CUACAAAUCACCUCAGAAAGCCUCCCGCUGCCUCAUUUCUUCUUUCUUUCUCUCAGUUUCUUCUUCACUCUUCUUCUUCUUCGAAAAGCACUGCCGCUGCCUCCCAUUUUCACUUCAGAUUUCAAUCUUUUAAUUCAAAUCGAAGUACCGCGCAACAUGAUUUUGUACUGCCGCUGCCGUUAUUUUGGAUUCACCAGCAGGAAGAAGAAGUAUUAACUGAUGUACCGGCAAUUAGGAUAUGAGAUUGCAGAGAUUAUGGUUUACUGUCAAAUGUCAUGACUCCUUCCUUUGUAUUGUAUGCGCACAACUCAUUCGACGAAAGUCCCAACGGAAGAAGGGGUACUUCGUAGCUCAAGGCUGUAUCAAACCACUGUGCGAUCUUUUAAUCUGCCCCGAUGCUAGGAUUGUUACCGCCUGUUUGGAAGGUCUCGAUAAGACUGAGAAGACCAUGGAAUACACUGAUGAGGAAGAGGGAUUGGAGAAGAUUGAAAACUUACAGAGUCACGCAACACUGAGAUAUAUGAGAAGGCGGUGAAAUUCUUGAGACUUACUGGGUGGAGGAGGAAUAUGAAAUGCCUCCUCUAAGUGAUGCUGCCCGGACAAAGUUCCAUUUUGGAGGGACCCAGCCCCAACUUCCUUCUGGUGGAUUUAACUUCGGCUGAAGGAGUGAGAGUACCUGUUGUGUAAAUUCGUCUCUAUACUGCACUAGGAAGAAUCCGACCCUCUAUGUUCAAAGACUUCAGAAAUCGUGAUGCUUUUGAAUUUUUCAAUCGUGAUAUACAGGGGACAACAUCUGUUGUGCUUGCAGGGAUUUUUUCCGCCUUGAAGUUGGUUGUUGGGACUUGAGCUGACUAUGUAUUUUUGUUUCUUGGUUCUAGAGAGAAAACUCGUAGAUAGAGAAAUCUUGAAUUGAGUUGAUCGUUAGCGACUCGAAAGAAAUUUGGCUUUGUAAACUCCAGGUACUUGAAUAACAACCACUUUAUGGAAUACAGAUCACAUUGGAUGUGCGUAGUUUGUCAGUACCUGCUUUAAUAUUGGCAGUUUGAAUUCUACCGAAUACUACAUAGAUUAAUCUAAAGCAUCGGAACAAUUCCUGCAAGAUCUCUGUGACAAGAUAUAUGAUGUUACCAUUCAUUGAGGAGUUAAAGACCAUGAGUUCUUUGUAUUUGUAAGUGGAAAUCAUCAUUUAGUUUGAAAUCAUCAUCUUCGCACGCCAUGGUUAUAUUUCUUAGAGAAUGUAAUACAAAAAAGAUAGAAAACAUAAAUUGGUGGUUUGUUUAUUUAUAGCUUCUGUUUCCUCCUCUUCUGUCUUUGUGUUUCUGUAACGAGUGUAUAGAUGGUGGAAAAUGUAUGAUUCACAGAUUGAAAAUAUAUGAAUUACUGAUUGAAAAAAAACAUAUUGCAAUUGUGUGUCAGGCUC